RNAcentral lists this ribosomal RNA (243 nucleotides) under uncultured bacterium. RNAcentral's name for it is "partial 16S ribosomal RNA". It matches the Rfam family "Bacterial small subunit ribosomal RNA", at positions 15 to 248 of the family's 1533-position model. The record is from RNAcentral.
GAUCCUGGCUCAGGAUGAACGCUAGCUACAGGCUUAACACAUGCAAGUCGAGGGGCAUCAGGAAGAAAGCUUGCUUUCUUUGCUGGCGACCGGCGCACGGGUGAGUAACACGUAUCCAACCUGCCGAUGACUCGGGGAUAGGCCUUUCGAAAGAAAGAUUAAAUACCCGAUGGUAUAUCUGAAAGGCAUCUUUCAGCUAUUAAAGAAUUUCGGUCAUUGAUGGGGAUGCGUUCCAUUAGGUUG